GACGAACGCUGGCGGCGUGCUUAACACAUGCAAGUCGAACGGUAAGGCCCUUCGGGGUACACGAGUGGCGAACGGGUGAGUAACACGUGGGUGAUCUGCCCUGCACUUCGGGAUAAGCCUGGGAAACUGGGUCUAAUACCGGAUAGGACUCCUGGCUUCAUGGUUGGGGGUGGAAAGCUUUUGCGGUGUGGGAUGGGACGGCGGCCUAUCAGCGUGUUGGUGGGGGAAUGGUCUACCAAGGCGACGACGGGUAGCCGGCCUGAGAGGGUGACCGGUCACACUGGGAGUGGUAUACAGCCCAGACUCCUACGGGAGGCAGCAGUGGGGAAUAUUGCACAAUGGGCGCAAGCCCGAUGCAGCGACGCCGCGUGAGGGAUGACGGCCUUCGGGUUGUAAACCUCUUUCAGCUAUGACGAAGCGCAAGUGACGGUAGUAGCAGAAGAAGGACCGGCCAACUACGUGCCAGCCGCCGCGGUAA
This 478-nucleotide ribosomal RNA is filed under the name uncultured bacterium. RNAcentral's name for it is "partial 16S ribosomal RNA". It matches the Rfam family "Bacterial small subunit ribosomal RNA", at positions 28 to 523 of the family's 1533-position model. The record is from RNAcentral.